UUCGAGCGUCAUUAACACCACUCAAGCGCAGCUUGGUAUUGGGUCAUGCCAGUGAUGGCAGAUCAUAAAUUCAGUGGCGGCGCCGCUGGGUUCCGAGCGUAGUAAUCAUAUCUCGCUGGGGUGCCUCGCGGUCGACGACCAACAACCCAACUAUUCUAAUGGUUGACCUCGGAUCAGGUAGGAAUACCCGCUGAACUUAA
This 200-nucleotide unclassified non-coding RNA is filed under the name soil metagenome. RNAcentral's name for it is "partial contains internal transcribed spacer 2 and large subunit ribosomal RNA". The record is from RNAcentral.